Non-coding RNA from Xiphophorus maculatus (southern platyfish), 777 nucleotides. NCBI's taxonomy places the organism in Eukaryota, Metazoa, Chordata, Actinopteri, Cyprinodontiformes, Poeciliidae. The record is from the annotation of a RefSeq genome assembly.
AAACCAGUAAAACCAGUUCCUCCUGAACAUCUGACCCACUGACCAGCUGCUGGAGCCUCGUCUCCUCUCUGGUGAACUCCACCUCUCCUCUCCACCAGGGGGCGCCAUGCUCCAGUAGGCGGCGCUCUCCUUGUGCUCUGUGUUCCAGCAUUGUGUCAAUAAGAAGUGGUGCUGUGAAGAGAACAAUAGUCAGACUGAAUGUUGAACAUCAGCUGCUUCCUCCUGCUGAUUUAAACCUUGGUGGACAGAUGGAACAUUGGCUGUGGAUUAUUCUGGCUGCUCUUUUCUCUGAGUGUAAAGGAGACUCAGUGAAGCAGACAGAAGGAGAAGUUGUUGCUGCUGCAGGAGAAUCACUGACUCUGAGAUGUACCUAUGAGACCAGUGACACUUUUCCAAGUUUAUUCUGGUACAGGCAAGAAGAAAACAGUUUCCCAAAGUUCAUGCUGAAGCAGCGAUUAUCAGCCAAAGAUAAAGCUCCAGAGUUCAACAGCAGCAGAUUUGAUGCUGACUUCAACAGCACCAUAAAAUCCUUCAACCUGAAGAUCCAGGAUCUCCAUCUGUCAGACUCUGCUGUGUACUACUGCGCUCUGCAGCCCACAGUGACAGGAAACACCAGAACCCUGUACAAAAACAUUUGAUUUCUCUGUCAGAGCAGCAGGUGAAACGGAUCAGCAGAACACUGAGGACUGAUGGCCGACCCGUUUUAAAAUGUUCUGUGCCGUUCUUGGAUCUGAACCAAGCAUCAUCUUCCUCUGGGCACAAGAUAAUCAGUCCAGU